ACCUACGGGACGCAGCAGUGGGGAAUAUUGCGCAAUGGGGGCAACCCUGACGCAGCAACGCCGCGUGAUUGAAGAAGGCCUUCGGGUUGUAAAGAUCUUUAAACAGGGACGAAGAAAUGACGGUACCUGACUAAGAAGCCCCGGCUAACUACGUGCCAGCAGCCGCGGUAAUACGUAGGGGGCAAGCGUUAUCCGGAUUUACUGGGUGUAAAGGGAGCGUAGACGGCAGCACAAGUCUGAAGUGAAAUGCCGGGGCUUAACCCCGGAACUGCUUUGGAAACUGUGCAGCUAGAGUGCAGGAGAGG
RNAcentral lists this ribosomal RNA (305 nucleotides) under uncultured bacterium. RNAcentral's name for it is "bacterial SSU rRNA". It matches the Rfam family "Bacterial small subunit ribosomal RNA", at positions 337 to 657 of the family's 1533-position model. The record is from RNAcentral.